ACGUUGGCGGCGUGGAUUAGGCAUGCAAGUCGUACGGGCCGCAAGGCCAGUGGCGCAAGGGUGAGUAAGGCGACGGUAACCAACCCCAUGAUUGGGUAUAGCCGCGGGAAACCGCGGGUAAUCCCCAGCGACGCACGGCCUCGGCAUCGAGGCCUUGCCAAAGCUCCGGCGUCGUGGGACGGGCCGUCGUGGUAUUAGGUAGUUGGCGGGGUAACGGCCCACCAAGCCUGCGAUGCCUACCGGGCGCGCGAGCGUGGCCCGGCACACUGGGACUGAGACACUGCCCAGACUCCUACGGGAGGCUGCAGUCGAGAAUCUUCGGCAAUGGGCGCAAGCCUGACCGAGCGACGCCGCGUUGAGGAUGAAGGCCUUCGGGUUGUAAACUCCUGUCGAGGGGGAAGAAGGGUCGAAAGACCUUGACUGAUCCCUGGAGGAAGCACGGGCUAAGUUCGUGCCAGCAGCCGCGGUAAGACGAACCGUGCGAACGUUAUUCGGAAUCACUGGGCUUAAAGCGCGCGUAGGCGGGACGGCACGUCGGUCGCUGAAAUCCCCCGGCUUAACCGGGGAACUGGCGUCGAUACGACCGUCCUGGAGGGGCGUAGGGGGACCUGGAACUUCCGGUGGAGCGG
This 629-nucleotide ribosomal RNA is filed under the name uncultured soil bacterium. RNAcentral's name for it is "bacterial SSU rRNA". It matches the Rfam family "Bacterial small subunit ribosomal RNA", at positions 33 to 681 of the family's 1533-position model. The record is from RNAcentral.